UACGUAGGGUGCAAGCGUUAAUCGGAAUUACUGGGCGUAAAGCGUGCGCAGGCGGUGAUGUAAGACAGGUGUGAAAUCCCCGGGCUUAACCUGGGAACUGCAUUUGUGACUGCAUCGCUGGAGUGCGGAAGAGGGGGAUGGAAUUCCGCGUGUAGCAGUGAAAUGCGUAGAUAUGCGGAGGAACGACGAUGGCGAAGGCAAUCCCCUGGGCCUGCACUGACGCUCAUGCACGAAAGCGUGGGGAGCAAACAGG
Molecule: ribosomal RNA, 253 nt
Filed under: uncultured bacterium
Lineage: Bacteria
Description: partial 16S ribosomal RNA
Rfam family: Bacterial small subunit ribosomal RNA
Source: RNAcentral